AUUGAACGCUGGCGGCACGCCUUACACAUGCAAGCCGAACGGCAGCGGACCUUCGGGUGCCGGCGAGUGGCGAACGGGUGAGUAAUAUAUCGGAACGUACCUUUCAGUGGGGGAUAACGUAGCGAAAGUUACGCUAAUACCGCAUAUUCUGUGAGCAGGAAAGCAGGGGAUCGCAAGACCUUGCGCUGAUUGAGCGGCCGAUAUCAGAUUAGCUAGUUGGUGAGGUAAAGGCUCACCAAGGCGACGAUCUGUAGCGGGUCUGAGAGGAUGAUCCGCCACACUGGAACUGAGACACGGUCCAGACUCCUACGGGAGGCAGCAGUGGGGAAUUUUGGACAAUGGGCGCAAGCCUGAUCCAGCCAUGCCGCGUGAGUGAAGAAGGCC
This 384-nucleotide ribosomal RNA is filed under the name uncultured bacterium. RNAcentral describes it as "bacterial SSU rRNA". It matches the Rfam family "Bacterial small subunit ribosomal RNA", at positions 30 to 416 of the family's 1533-position model. The record is from RNAcentral.